UAACCGGAUUGUUGAUGAGAAUGGCGUUUGAAUAUAAGGCUUUUCCAAGUACCUCCAGAUCGAUGCCAUUUACGUUUAUGAAUGGCUUUACCCCAUUGAGGGUUGGGUUGCAAGUCACUCUAAACCAAGGUUCCGUAUAGCAGGUGCUAUGGAUUCCAAAAGGGGAUGGAAUUGUAAUAUUUCCACAUGCUUCUUUACCACAGGCAGGUUCUUGAGAUUCUGCUGCUUGUAAUAUUGGGCACAACAUGAAGAGGAGUAGGAGGAUGAGGUAAAGCGGUAAGUGAAAACCCAUUUGCGUUGUUAUUUUGUUUGAGGGAAAUGAAUGAAGAUUUAGAUAGGGUUACUGUAGAAGUCGGGUUUUAAAGAAACAAAAGCAGGGUUAAGUAGCACCACGAGAUUGUAAAUUAUAUUUGUUAAAGUAGCACCACUACUCUUUUUCUUUUUAAAAUUACCAUCACUACUACAUGUCAAAAUAAAUUAUAAUUUUUUACAUCUAAAUUUAGUAAUAUGAUAAAAAAAUAUCUUUAUUUAUUUAAAAAAAAUUUAAAUUCGUGCUUUUAUAUAUACUACUUGUUUCAAAUUUAUAUAGGGUUCACUUCUAUAAAUAUAUUCAUUUCUACCCCACCACGUCAAUCCAACGAGCCUCUUAUCCAUUCUUAUUCGAUCAUGAAAGAGGUAAGACAAAAUAAAAAUACUCACAUUAAAUUUAGAGAAAAUCAAAUUCGAUUUAAUAACUUCCAUAUCUAAUAUUUUACGGCUAAAUUAUAUUCCUUUCCUGCCCCAAUCAAGAAAUAGGACCAACUAUUGGACAAAUGUGUUACGAAGCAAAAUUUUCUUCCGUCAAUGUGCUGUCUCAUUUUGUAUCCCUACAAUCAUUUCUUGGCAAGUGUAUUAAAAUUACUUUUAAAAUAAAAUUUGAAAGUAAAGGUUCAAAAAAUAUAUAAAAUUUAAUAAUUUCCAACACUUGUAUCAAAUUGUAGAUAUAUUAUAUAAAUUACACUUUAUAAAUGAAUAAACAAAUAAAACUCCGAACAUCACAGAUUUAAUAAUAUACUGCACAUUUCCUAAAAAAAUAAUGUACUCCACAUGUUACAAUGCAUUUAAAUGUGAUAUUUCAAAAUCUGAUACUUCUUUACCACAGGUAGGUUCUUGAGAUUCUGCUGCUUGUAAUAUUGGGCACAAGAGGAAGAGGAGUAGGAGGAUGAAGUAAAG
RNAcentral lists this long non-coding RNA (1212 nucleotides) under Gossypium barbadense (sea-island cotton). RNAcentral's name for it is "long non-coding RNA (GBAR_LNC018981)". Lineage: Eukaryota; Viridiplantae; Streptophyta; Magnoliopsida; Malvales; Malvaceae. The record is from RNAcentral.